CUUAACUGCGGGACCGCGCUGGAAACUAUCAGGCUAGAGUCUAAGAGGGGGAACUAGAAUUCCAGGUGUAGGGGUGAAAUCUGUAGAUAUCUGGAAGAAUACCGGAGGCGAAGGCGAGUUCCUGGCUAUAGACUGACGUUGAGGCGCGAAAGCGUGGGGAGCGAACAGGAUUAGAUACCCUGGUAGUCCACGCCGUAAACGUUGUGCACUAGGUGUUGGCCUUAAGGGGUCAGUACCGUAGCAAACGCGAUAAGUGCACCGCCUGGGGAGUAUGCUCGCAAGGGUGAAACUCAAAGGAAUUGACGGGGGCCCGCACAAGCGGUGGAGCAUGUGGUUUAAUUCGAUGAUACGCGAGUAACCUUACCAGGGCUUGACAUCUACUUGACUGCCAUAGAGAUAUGGCUUCCCUUCGGGGCAG
RNAcentral lists this ribosomal RNA (418 nucleotides) under uncultured bacterium. RNAcentral describes it as "bacterial SSU rRNA". It matches the Rfam family "Bacterial small subunit ribosomal RNA", at positions 608 to 1029 of the family's 1533-position model. The record is from RNAcentral.